Molecule: ribosomal RNA, 576 nt
Filed under: Charybdis sp. FLM-2016
Lineage: Eukaryota; Metazoa; Arthropoda; Malacostraca; Decapoda; Portunidae
Description: partial 16S ribosomal RNA
Rfam family: Archaeal large subunit ribosomal RNA
Source: RNAcentral
AAAAACAUGGCUAUUAUGAGGUUGUUGAUAGUCUAGCCUGCUCACUGAUAGAAUUUAUUAAAUAGCCGCGGUAUCUUGACCGUGCAAAGGUAGCAUAAUCAUUAGUUUUUUAAUUGGAAACUUGUAUGAAUGGUUGGACAAAGAAGAAGCUGUCUCUUGUUAUUAAUAUUGAACUUAACUUUUAAGUGAAAAGGCUUAAAUAUUCUAGAGGGACGAUAAGACCCUAUAAAGCUUUAUAAACUUAUAAAUUUUAUAUGUUUUUUUAUAAAAAUAAUCUUUCGAAGGUUUAUUUAGUUGGGGCGACAAUGAUAUAAAUAAUAUAACUGUCAUAAAAUAUAACAAAUAUAUUUGUUUAAUAAGGAAUAAUUGAUCCUUUAUAAGGAUUUUAAGAUCAAGUUACUUUAGGGAUAACAGCGUUAUUUUUCUUGAGAGUUCUUAUCAAAGGAAAAGUUUGCGACCUCGAUGUUGAAUUAAAAUGUCUUUAUAGUGCAGCAGCUAUAAAAGAAGGUCUGUUCGACCUUUAAUAUUUUACAUGAUUUGAGUUCAGACCGGCGGGAGCCAGGUCGGUUUCUAUCU